AAUCAAGCGCGAGAAGGGCGUUUGGUGGAUGCCUAGGCAGUAAGAGGCGAUGAAGGACGUGAUACUCUGCGAUAAGCUGUGGGGAGCCGAGAAUAGGCUUUGAUCCACAGAUCUCCGAAUGGGGCAACCCACCUGACAGUUUGUUAUUGUUAGCUUUGCUAUCAAUAACUUGCUGAGACAGGUAUUUAUGAUCUGAAUACAUAGGGUUAUAAAAGCAAACCCGGGGAACUGAAACAUCUAAGUACCCGGAGGAAAGGAAAUCAACAGAUACUCCCCUAGUAGCGGCGAGCGAACGGGGACCAGCCGAGCAAUGAGAGUGACUAGAACCGUCUGGAAAGGCGGGCCAUAGUGGGUGACAGCCCCGUAUAGGAAGCUCGAUUUGACGUAUUAAGUAGGGCGGGACACGUGAAAUCCUGUCUGAAGAUCGGAGGACCACCUUCGAAGGCUAAGUACUCCUUACUGACCGAUAGCGAACCAGUACCGUGAGGGAAAGGUGAAAAGCACCCCGACGAGGGGAGUGAAACAGUACCUGAAACCGGACGCCUACAAGCAGUCGGAGGGGCCUUGAGCCCUGACGGCGUACCUUUUGUAUAAUGGGUCAUCGACUUGGUCUCACAAGCAAGCUUAAGCCGUUAGGUGUAGGCGUAGCGAAAGCGAGUCUUAAUAGGGCGAAUGAGUUUGUGGGAUCAGACCCGAAACCGAGUGAUCUAGCCAUGGCCAGGAUGAAGGUUGGGUAACACCAACUGGAGGUCCGAACCCACACCUGUUGAAAAAGGUCGGGAUGAGCUGUGGCUAGGGGUGAAAGGCCAAUCAAACUCGGAGAUAGCUGGUUCUCUGCGAAAUCUAUUUAGGUAGAGCGUCGACCGAAUACCCUCGGGGGUAGAGCACUGGAUGGGUAAUGGGGUCCCACAGACUUACUGAUCCUAACCAAACUCCGAAUACCGAGGAGUACUAGUCGGCAGACACACGGCGGGUGCUAACGUCCGUCGUGAAGAGGGAAACAACCCUGACCUACAGCUAAGGCCCCCAAUUCAUGGCUAAGUGGGAAAGCAGGUGGGACGACCAAAACAACCAGGAGGUUGGCUUAGAAGCAGCCAUCCUUUAAAGAUAGCGUAACAGCUCACUGGUCUAAAUAAGUUGUCCUGCGGCGAAGAUGUAACGGGGCUCAAGCCAUGAGCCGAAGCUUAGGAUGCACAUAUGUGCGUGGUAGCAGAGCGUGGUGUGAUAUAGUUCCACGCCUCCUUACUCACUUCGGUGGGAUUGGAGGCAGGGAGCUUUCUGUGAAGCUGGCGCGUGAGCGAUCCGGUGGAGAGAUCACCAGUGAGAAUGAUGACAUGAGUAGCGACAAAGAGGGUGAGAGACCCUCUCGCCGAAAGUCCAAGGGUUCCUGCUUAAAGCUAAUCUGAGCAGGGUAAGCCGACCCCUAAGGCGAGGCCGAAAGGCGUAGUCGAUGGGAAUCAGGUUAAUAUUCCUGAGCCAGGAGGAUGUGACGGAUCUCGAAGAUUGUUUGCCCUUAUCGGAUUGGGUGAGCCGUUUAGAGGUUCCUGGAAAUAGCCCUCCAUGAGAUCGUACCCUAAACCGACACAGGUGGACUGGUAGAGAAUACCAAGGCGCUUGAGAGAACGAUGUUGAAGGAACUCGGCAAAAUACCUCCGUAAGUUCGCGAGAAGGAGGCCCCGUUCGUAGGCAACUACGGGCGGGGGGCACAAACCAGGGGGUGGCGACUGUUUACUUAAAACACAGGGCUCUGCGAAGUCGUAAGACGACGUAUAGGGUCUGACGCCUGCCCGGUGCCGGAAGGUUAAAAGGAGGAGUGCAAGCUCCGAAUUGAAGCCCCGGUAAACGGCGGCCGUAACUAUAACGGUCCUAAGGUAGCGAAAUUCCUUGUCGGGUAAGUUCCGACCUGCACGAAUGGCGUAACGACCUCCCCGCUGUCUCCAACAUCGACUCAGCGAAAUUGAAUUGUGUGUCAAGAUGCACACUUCCCGCGGUUAGACGGAAAGACCCCAUGCACCUUUACUAUAGCUUCGCACUGGCAUCAGGUACAGCAUGUGCAGGAUAGGUGGUAGGCUUUGAAGCAGGGACGCCAGUCUCUGUGGAGCCUCCCUUGAGAUACCACCCUUGCUCUGCUUGAUGUCUAACCGCGGCCCGUUAUCCGGGUCCGGGACCCUGCGUGGUGGGUAGUUUGACUGGGGCGGUCGCCUCCUAAACAGUAACGGAGGCGCGCGAAGGUUGGCUCAGAGCGGUCGGAAAUCGCUCGUUGAGUGCAAUGGCAGAAGCCAGCCUGACUGCAAGACUGACAAGUCGAGCAGAGACGAAAGUCGGCCAUAGUGAUCCGGUGGUCCCGAGUGGAAGGGCCAUCGCUCAACGGAUAAAAGGUACGCUGGGGAUAACAGGCUGAUGAUGCCCAAGAGUCCAUAUCGACGGCAUCGUUUGGCACCUCGAUGUCGGCUCAUCUCAUCCUGGGGCUGGAGCAGGUCCCAAGGGUAUGGCUGUUCGCCAUUUAAAGAGGUACGUGAGCUGGGUUUAGAACGUCGUGAGACAGUUCGGUCCCUAUCUUCCGUGGGUGUAGGAUACUUGAGAGGAGUUGCCCCUAGUACGAGAGGACCGGGGUGAACGAUCCACUGGUGGACCAGUUGUCGUGCCAACGGCAGUGCUGGGUAGCUAUGAUCGGACAGGAUAACCGCUGAAGGCAUCUAAGCGGGAAGCCCCCCUCAAAACAAGGUAUCCCUGAGGACCGUGGUAGACCACCACGUCGAUAGGCCGGAGAUGUAAGCGCAGUAAUGCGUUCAGUUGACCGGUACUAAUGGUCCGAUAGGCUUGAUUUG
Molecule: ribosomal RNA, 2828 nt
Filed under: Marivivens sp. LCG002
Lineage: Bacteria; Pseudomonadati; Pseudomonadota; Alphaproteobacteria; Rhodobacterales; Paracoccaceae
Description: 23S ribosomal RNA
Rfam family: Bacterial large subunit ribosomal RNA
Source: RNAcentral